Microcebus murinus (gray mouse lemur) is the source of this 767-nucleotide non-coding RNA. The record is from RefSeq and is a predicted model, not a curated record. NCBI's taxonomy places the organism in Eukaryota, Metazoa, Chordata, Mammalia, Primates, Cheirogaleidae.
CUGCAGCCUCGGCGAGGGACCGGCCCGCGGAGCCCCGAGCCCGCAGCAGACGACGCGCGGGGAGAGGAAGGAAACCGCCCCUGGCCCGGCAGCUGUGUAUCCAGCGCUGAGAUAACACCCAGUCUCUGCACUCAAAUACGCCUCAGCAUUGUGGAAGAUACACAUGAAAUAAUGACCAUGCAAUGGGACAAAUGAGCAGACUAGCUACCUUGGGAAAGACAGAGAAGCAGGGUCAUACCAGGAGAUGAAGAAAAGCCAGCCUCCAGGAGUGUGCUGAGACAGCAAGAGAAGGAAGGCAAGUUGGGCAAGUCCAUACUUGAGCAAUUUGAAGUGGCGCAAACCAGGAAGGGGAAAUCUGUGGUUUAAAUUCUUUAUGCCUCAUCCUCUGAAUGCUGGAGGCUUGCUGUAGGCUGUAUGCUGUUAAUGCUAAUCGUGAUAGGGGUUUUUACCUCCGACUGACUCCUACAUGUUAGCAUUAACAGGGUAUGAUGCCUGUUACUAGCAUUCACGUGGGACAAAAUGCUGCCGUGGGAGGAUGACAAAGAAGCAUGAGUCACUCUGCUGGAUAAACUUAGACUUCAGGCUUUAUCAUUUUUUAAUUUGUUAAUCAAAAUCUGAUCCCUGAGAUGUUCCACUUUAAGUUUUAAGAUUAAGGUUAUUUAAAAGAUUUAUCAGCAGUAUCUUGAAUGCAGACAUUUUCACUUUAAUCUUCAAGCCCACAUCUAUGUUUUUAUCAUUAAUAGAAAAUGUGUUUGUGUCAUUUUGAA